UUUUUCGUUCCCCCCUUCCCCCGAAAUCCCAAAAUUUGACGAGAAAUCUUUCUUUUUUUUUUCCCUCCUUUCUUUUCCCAAAAUCGGUUCCCUCCCCCAUCCCUAAAGAAAUCCUAAAAUUUCACUGGAAAUUUCUUCUCUUUUUUUCCCCAUUUUAUUUUUCCCAAACCAUUUCUCCCCUACCCCGAUUCCCUUUAUUUUUCCCCCAAUUUCCUCAAAUCAGUAGCCCUCUGCAUCUCCGUCGGUAGCCCGCUGCUGUAUCUCUGUCGACAUCUGCUGUCGAGAAAGAGAAAUGGCUGGAAGUAAUGAAAUCAACCUCAACGAGUGCAAGCUAUUGGUUUCAAUUAGAUGAGGCUAACAUAUCCAUCACCAGUGUAUAGAGGUAUCUUUGCCACGUUCCUCGCAGGUUCAAGACAGGUUUCAGGAAAGGUAGGAAAAUGGUACUGAAGCAGCACUAAAAAAGAAGGUUGCAGCAGUUUCUGCUUAAAAGGCAAAUUAUAAUGGUAUGAGGUUUUGUUUUGGAUGAAGCCAUGUUUAUGAGGAAACAGUUAGUGAUGAAGAAUGAAAUUAUGUUCUAUUGGAUGCUUUAGUUGUUAUUUAGUUUCUAUUUGAAUGUAGCUGUCUUAUAUUUUGAACAAUUAUUGGAGCUAAUGUUUGACCCUUAAUUUCUUCAUUGUCUUUUUUUUUAAUUGAUUAAUGUUAUUGUUUCGUUAAUUUAAA
This is a long non-coding RNA of Gossypium arboreum, 720 nucleotides long. RefSeq lists it as uncharacterized. Lineage: Eukaryota; Viridiplantae; Streptophyta; Magnoliopsida; Malvales; Malvaceae. The transcript is spliced from 4 exons. The record is from RefSeq and is a predicted model, not a curated record.